RNAcentral lists this transfer RNA (365 nucleotides) under uncultured Microcystis sp. RNAcentral describes it as "partial 16S-23S ribosomal RNA intergenic spacer". The stretch from base 136 to 209 matches the Rfam family "tRNA". The record is from RNAcentral. Lineage: Bacteria; Bacillati; Cyanobacteriota; Cyanophyceae; Chroococcales; Microcystaceae.
AAAGGGAGACCUAAUUCGGGUAGGAGACGAAAAAAAAGUAGUCCCUACCAAGAAUCAAUCCCAAAAGGUCGGAGCGAGGCGAAAUUGGCUUUCAAACUAGGUUCUGGGUUCACACAAGACCUGAAUCAGGAACAAGGGCUAUUAGCUCAGGUGGUUAGAGCGCACCCCUGAUAAGGGUGAGGUCCCUGGUUCGAGUCCAGGAUGGCCCACCUGCACAGGUGGCAAAAACAAAGAAAAAAAGCUCCGAAUCAGCACCUUAUCUUACUUAUAUAGUAAGAGAGAAUGCUGGCUCUGAGUUCAGAGUCCAGAGGAACCUUGAAAACUGCAUAGAGCUAGGUGAAAAAGCCAAAAAAGAAGACCGUCAG